This 38-nucleotide transfer RNA is filed under the name Dicranum scottianum. RNAcentral's name for it is "partial tRNA-Thr". Lineage: Eukaryota; Viridiplantae; Streptophyta; Bryopsida; Dicranales; Dicranaceae. The record is from RNAcentral.
GUAAGCGUAAGUCAUCGGUUCAAAUCCGAUAAAGGGCU